UCUCCACAGUCACUGAACACACAGGUUCUCGCCAUGGGAUGGAGCUGGAUCAUCCUCUUCCUGGUGACAGCAGCUACAGGUGUCCAAUCACAGGUUCAGCUUCAGCAGUCUGGGCCUGAGCUUGGGAAACCUGGUUUCUCAGUGAAGCUGUCAUGCAAGGCUUCAGGCUCCACCUUCACUGGCUACUAUAUGCACUGGGUGAAGCAGAGGCCUGGACAGGGCCUGGAGUGGAUUGGAUGGAUUGGUACUUCAAGUGGUAAUACUAAAUACGCACAGAAUUUCCAGGGCAAGGCCACGCUGAGUAGAGACAUAUCCUCCAGCACAGCAUACAUGGAGCUCAUCAGCCUGACAUCUGAGGACUCUGCCAUCUAUUUCUGUGCAAGAGACACAGUGGUGCAACUACAUCCUGAGUGUGUCAGAAACCAUGGAGGAGCAGGAAGCUCCGCAAGAAUGUAGAUGACAGAAAGAUCAGUCUUGGGACUUGCUCAGAAAUAAUCAUUCUCCUGUUCCCUUCUCUCCCUCCUUCUCAACGUCUUAUAUUUCUUAAUACAACUUUGUAAAAGACAUCUGAGUGAAAAAUGGUUUUGUCUUAGGAUGCCUCUAGAGGACCCCAUAUCAUGAGAAAGUGUUGAGUUGUGACUGCCUGAAUUGACACAGUUCUUUAAUAAAACAACAAAAAGGGAAACUGUGAUGAAGAAUUAUGGUAAAAAUACAUCUUUAUCUUGAGUGCUGGGACGUUUUGCAGCAAGAACUGACAAUAAAGUACAAUACAUAUUUGACAUGUGCAAUCAAAA
This is a non-coding RNA of Mesocricetus auratus (golden hamster), 794 nucleotides long. Lineage: Eukaryota; Metazoa; Chordata; Mammalia; Rodentia; Cricetidae. The record is from the annotation of a RefSeq genome assembly.